GACGAACGCUGGCGGCGUGCUUAACACAUGCAAGUCGAACGGAAAGGCCCUGCUUUUGUGGGGUGCUCGAGUGGCGAACGGGUGAGUAACACGUGAGUAACCUGCCCUUGACUUUGGGAUAACUUCAGGAAACUGGGGCUAAUACCGGUAGGAGCUCCUGCUGCAUGGGGGGGGGUGGAAAGUUUCGGCGGUUGGGGAUGGACUCGCGGCUUAUCAGCUUGUUGGUGGGGUAGUGGCUUACCAAGGCUUUGACGGGUAGCCGGCCUGAGAGGGUGACCGGCCACAUUGGGACUGAGAUACGGCCCAGACUCCUACGGGAGGCAGCAGUGGGGAAUAUUGCACAAUGGGCGGAAGCCUGAUGCAGCAACGCCGCGUGCGGGAUGACGGCCUUCGGGUUGUAAACCGCUUUCGCCUGUGACGAAGCGUGAGUGACGGUAAUGGGUAAAGAAGCACCGGCUAACUACGUG
This 467-nucleotide ribosomal RNA is filed under the name uncultured bacterium. RNAcentral's name for it is "partial 16S ribosomal RNA". It matches the Rfam family "Bacterial small subunit ribosomal RNA", at positions 28 to 507 of the family's 1533-position model. The record is from RNAcentral.